GACGAACGCUGGCGGCGUGCUUAACACAUGCAAGUCGAACGGAAAGGCCCUGCUUUUGUGGGGUGCUCGAGUUGCGAACGGGUGAGUAACACGUGAGUAACCUGCCCUUGACUUUGGGAUAACUUCAUGAAACUGGGGCUAAUACCGGAUAGGAGCUCCUGCUGCAUGGUGGGGGUUGGAAAGUUUCGGCGGUUGGUGAUGGACUCGCGGCUUAUCAGCUUGUUGGUGGGGUAGUGGAUUACCAAGGCUUUGACGGGUAGCCGGCCUGAGAGGGUGACCGGCCACAUUGGGACUGAGAUGAGGCACAGCCUCCUCCGGGAGGCAGCAGUGGGGUAUAUUGCACAAUAGGCGGAGGCCUGAUGCAGCAAAGCCGCGUGCGGGAUGACGGCAUUCGGGUUGUAUACCGAUUUCGCCUGUGACGAAGCGUGAGUGACGGUAAUGGGUAAAGAAGCACCGGCUAACUACGUG
RNAcentral lists this ribosomal RNA (468 nucleotides) under uncultured bacterium. Its description in RNAcentral is "partial 16S ribosomal RNA". It matches the Rfam family "Bacterial small subunit ribosomal RNA", at positions 28 to 507 of the family's 1533-position model. The record is from RNAcentral.